This 835-nucleotide ribosomal RNA is filed under the name Bacillus sp. Bsp1. RNAcentral's name for it is "bacterial SSU rRNA". It matches the Rfam family "Bacterial small subunit ribosomal RNA", at positions 57 to 871 of the family's 1533-position model. The record is from RNAcentral. Lineage: Bacteria; Bacillati; Bacillota; Bacilli; Caryophanales; Bacillaceae.
GCAAGUCGAGCGGACCGACGGGAGCUUGCUCCCUUAGGUCAGCGGCGGACGGGUGAGUAACACGUGGGUAACCUGCCUGUAAGACUGGGAUAACUCCGGGAAACCGGGGCUAAUACCGGAUGCUUGAUUGAACCGCAUGGUUCCAAUCAUAAAAGGUGGCUUUCAGCUACCACUUACAGAUGGACCCGCGGCGCAUUAGCUAGUUGGUGAGGUAACGGCUCACCAAGGCGACGAUGCGUAGCCGACCUGAGAGGGUGAUCGGCCACACUGGGACUGAGACACGGCCCAGACUCCUACGGGAGGCAGCAGUAGGGAAUCUUCCGCAAUGGACGAAAGUCUGACGGAGCAACGCCGCGUGAGUGAUGAAGGUUUUCGGAUCGUAAAACUCUGUUGUUAGGGAAGAACAAGUACCGUUCGAAUAGGGCGGCACCUUGACGGUACCUAACCAGAAAGCCACGGCUAACUACGUGCCAGCAGCCGCGGUAAUACGUAGGUGGCAAGCGUUGUCCGGAAUUAUUGGGCGUAAAGCGCGCGCAGGCGGUUUCUUAAGUCUGAUGUGAAAGCCCCCGGCUCAACCGGGGAGGGUCAUUGGAAACUGGGGAACUUGAGUGCAGAAGAGGAGAGUGGAAUUCCACGUGUAGCGGUGAAAUGCGUAGAGAUGUGGAGGAACACCAGUGGCGAAGGCGACUCUCUGGUCUGUAACUGACGCUGAGGCGCGAAAGCGUGGGGAGCGAACAGGAUUAGAUACCCUGGUAGUCCACGCCGUAAACGAUGAGUGCUAAGUGUUAGAGGGUUUCCGCCCUUUAGUGCUGCAGCAAACGCAUUAAGCACUCCG